GUCGAACGCUGGCGGCGUGCUUAACACAUGCAAGUCGAACGGAAAGGCCCUGCUUUUGUGGGGUGCUCGAGUGGCGAACGGGUGAGUAACACGUGAGUAACCUGCCCUUGACUUUGGGAUAACUUCAGGAAACUGGGGCUAAUACCGGAUAGGAGCUCCUGCUGCAUGGUGGGGGUUGGAAAGUUUCGGCGGUUGGGGAUGGACUCGCGGCUUAUCAGCUUGUUGGUGGGGUAGUGGCUUACCAAGGCUUUGACGGGUAGCCGGCCUGGGAGGGUGACCGGCCACAUUGGGACUGAGAUACGGCCCAGACUCCUACGGGAGGCAGCAGUGGGGAAUAUUGCACAAUGGGCGGAAGCCUGAUGCAGCAACGCCGCGUGCGGGAUGACGGCCUUCGGGUUGUAAACCGCUUUCGCCUGUGACGAAGCGUGAGUGACGGUAAUGGGUAAAGAAGCACCGGCUAACUACGUG
Molecule: ribosomal RNA, 468 nt
Filed under: uncultured bacterium
Lineage: Bacteria
Description: partial 16S ribosomal RNA
Rfam family: Bacterial small subunit ribosomal RNA
Source: RNAcentral